AUAAUCUGCCUGCUACUCUGGGAUAACUCCGGGAAACCGGGGCUAAUACCGGAUAUGAGCCUUGAUCGGCGUGAUCGGGGCUGGCGAGGUUUUCGGGUGAAGAUGACUUCUCGGCCUAUCAGCUUGUUGGGGAGGUAAUGGAUCUCCAAAGCGACGACGAGGUAAGCGGGCUGAGAGGGCCACCGGCCCCGCUGGGACUGAGACACUCCCCCGACACCUACCGGAGGGGACAAUGGGGAAUAUUGGGCAAUGGACGAACGUCCCACCCCCCGGCGCCACGAGCGGGAUGAACGCCUUCAGGUUGUAUACCGCUUUCAGAAAGGAAU
Molecule: ribosomal RNA, 326 nt
Filed under: uncultured bacterium
Lineage: Bacteria
Description: bacterial SSU rRNA
Rfam family: Bacterial small subunit ribosomal RNA
Source: RNAcentral